RNAcentral lists this ribosomal RNA (318 nucleotides) under uncultured bacterium. Its description in RNAcentral is "bacterial SSU rRNA". It matches the Rfam family "Bacterial small subunit ribosomal RNA", at positions 28 to 334 of the family's 1533-position model. The record is from RNAcentral.
GAUGAACGCUGGCGGCGUGCUUAACACAUGCAAGUCGAACGAAGCAGGAAGCGAAGCGCAAGCAGAGGUUCUUGACUGAGUGGCGGACGGGUGAGUAACGCGUGGAUAACCUGCCUUUCACAGGGGGAUAACAGCUGGAAACGGCUGCUAAUACCGCAUGAGCCUCUUUUGUCGCAUGAGGAGAGAGGGAAAGAGAAAUCGGUGAGAGAUGGAUCCGCGUCCGAUUAGCUAGUUGGAGGGGUAACAGCCCACCAAGGCGACGAUCGGUAGCCGACCUGAGAGGGUGGACGGCCACAUUGGGACUGAGACACGGCCCAA